GAUGAACGCUAGCGGCAGGCCUAAUACAUGCAAGUCGAACGGGUCGCAAGGCCAGUGGCCAACGGGUGCGUAACGCGUAAGCAACCUGCCUCAUACUGGGGGAUAGCCCGGCGAGAGAUGGGGUAAACCCGCACGGUCCCAUUUGAUCACCUGGAUUUAUGGGUAAACCUUGAUGGGUAGGAGAGGGGCUUGCGUCUGAGUAGUUAGUUGGCAGGGUAACGGCCUACCAAGACGAUGAGGAGUAGGGGUUAUGAGAGGAUUGGCCCCCACAUGGGUACUGAGAUACGGACCCAACUCCUACGGGAGGCAGCAGUAGGGAAUAUUGGGCAAUGGGCGCAAGCCUGACCCAGCCAUGCCGCGUGCAGGAUGAAGGCGCUCAGCGUUGUAAACUGCUUUUACUGGUGAAGAAAACUUGUCCUGCGGGAUGAAUUGACGGUAGCCAGGGAAUAAGCACCGGCUAACUCCGUGCCAGCAGCCGCCGUAA
This 484-nucleotide ribosomal RNA is filed under the name uncultured bacterium. RNAcentral's name for it is "partial 16S ribosomal RNA". It matches the Rfam family "Bacterial small subunit ribosomal RNA", at positions 28 to 523 of the family's 1533-position model. The record is from RNAcentral.